UUCGCCCUUAGAGUUUGAUCCUGGCUCAGGAUGAACGCUGGCGGCGUGCCUAACACAUGCAAGUCGAGCGAAGCGAUUUUGGGGAAGUUUUCGGAUGGAAUUGAAAUUGACUUAGCGGCGGACGGGUGAGUAACACGUGGGUAAUCUGCCUUAUACAGGGGGAUAACAGUUAGAAAUGACUGCUAAUACCGCAUAAGCGCACGGGGACGCAUGUUUCUGUGUGAAAAACUCCGGUAGUAAAAGAUGAGCCCGCGUCUGAUUAGCUUGUUGGUGGGGUAACGGCCUACCAAGGCGACGAUCAGUAGCCGGCCUGAGAGGGUGAACGGCCACAUUGGGACUGAGACACGGCCCAAACUCCUACGGGAGGCAGCAGUGGGGAAUAUUGCACAAUGGGGGAAACCCUGAUGCAGCGACGCCGCGUGAGUGAAGAAGUAUUUCGGUAUGUAAAGCUCUAUCAGCAGGGAAGAAAAAAGACGGUACCUGACUAAGAAGCCCCGGCUAACUACGUGCCAGCAGCCGCGGUAAUACGUAGGGGGCAAGCGUUAUCCGGAUUUACUGGGUGUAAAGGGAGCGUAGACGGCGCGGCAAGUCUGAAGUGAAAGACAGGGGCUUAACCCCUGAACUGCUUUGGAAACUGCCAUGCUAGAGUGCUGGAGAGGUAAGUGGAAUUCCUAGUGUAGCGGUGAAAUGCGUAGAUAUUAGGAGGAACACCAGUGGCGAAGGCGGCUUACUGGACAGUAACUGACGUUGAGGCUCGAAAGCGUGGGGAGCAAACAGGAUUAGAUACCCUGGUAGUCCACGCCGUAAACGAUGGAUACUAGGUGUGCGGGGACUGACCCCCUGCGUGCCGCAGCUAACGCAAUAAGUAUCCCACCUGGGGAGUACGAUCGCAAGGUUGAAACUCAAAGGAAUUGACGGGGGCCCGCACAAGCGGUGGAUUAUGUGGUUUAAUUCGAUGCAACGCGAAGAACCUUACCAGGGCUUGACAUCCUACUAACGAAGUAGAGAUACAUUAGGUACCCUUCGGGGGAAGUAGAGACAGGUGGUGCAUGGUUGUCGUCAGCUCGUGUCGUGAGAUGUUGGGUUAAGUCCCGCAACGAGCGCAACCCUUAUUGUUAGUUGCUACGCAAGAGCACUCUAGCGAGACUGCCGUUGACAAAACGGAGGAAGGUGGGGACGACGUCAAAUCAUCAUGCCCCUUAUGUCCUGGGCUACACACGUAAUACAAUGGCGGCCAACAGAGGGAUGCAAAGCUGUGAAGUGGAGCGAACCCCUAAAAGCCGUCCCAGUUCAGAUUGCAGUCUGCAACUCGACUGCAUGAAGUCGGAAUCGCUAGUAAUCGCGGAUCAGCAUGCCGCGGUGAAUACGUUACCGGGCCUUGCACUCACCGCCCGUCA
RNAcentral lists this ribosomal RNA (1397 nucleotides) under uncultured bacterium. RNAcentral describes it as "16S ribosomal RNA". It matches the Rfam family "Bacterial small subunit ribosomal RNA". The record is from RNAcentral.